Transfer RNA from Felis catus (domestic cat), 73 nucleotides. It matches the Rfam family "tRNA". Rfam says of the family: Transfer RNA (tRNA) molecules are approximately 80 nucleotides in length. Their secondary structure includes four short double-helical elements and three loops (D, anti-codon, and T loops). NCBI's taxonomy places the organism in Eukaryota, Metazoa, Chordata, Mammalia, Carnivora, Felidae. The record is from Rfam.
ACCUGGCUGGCUCAAUCCCUAGAGCAUGUGACUUUUGAUCUCAGGAUUGUGAGUUCAAGCUCCAUGUUGGGUA